AGAGUUUGAUCCUGGCUCAGGACGAACGCUGGCGGCGUGCCUAAUACAUGCAAGUAGAACGCUGAAAUAAGAGCUUGCUCUUAUGGAUGAGUUGCGAACGGGUGAGUAACACGUGGGGAACCUACCUUCUAGCGGGGGAUAACACAUAGAAAUGUGUGCUAAUACCGCAUAAUAGUAUUUGAUGCAUAUCAGAUACUUGAAAGGCGCAAUUGCGUCACUAGAAGAUGGCCCCGCGGUGCAUUAGCUAGUUGGUGAGGUAACGGCUCACCAAGGCAAUGAUGCAUAGCCGACCUGAGAGGGUGAUCGGCCACACUGGGACUGAGACACGGCCCAGACUCCUACGGGAGGCAGCAGUAGGGAAUCUUCGGCAAUGGACGCAAGUCUGACCGAGCAACGCCGCGUGAGUGAAGAAGGUUUUCGGAUCGUAAAACUCUGUUGUAAGAGAAGAACGUUGAUGAGAGUGGAAAGUUCAUCAAGUGACGGUAUCUUACCAGAAAGCCACGGCUAACUACGUGCCAGCAGCCGCGGUAAUACGUAGGUGGCAAGCGUUGUCCGGAUUUAUUGGGCGUAAAGCGAGCGCAGGCGGUUGAUUAAGUCUGAUGUGAAAGCCCCCGGCUCAACCGGGGAGGGUCAUUGGAAACUGGUCAACUUGAGUGCAGAAGAGGAGAGUGGAAUUCCAUGUGUAGCGGUGAAAUGCGUAGAUAUAUGGAGGAACACCAGUGGCGAAGGCGGCUCUCUGGUCUGUAACUGACGCUGAGGCUCGAAAGCGUGGGGAGCGAACAGGAUUAGAUACCCUGGUAGUCCACGCCGUAAACGAUGAGUGCUAAGUGUUGGAGGGUUUCCGCCCUUCAGUGCUGCAGCUAACGCAUUAAGCACUCCGCCUGAGGAGUACGACCGCAAGGUUGAAACUCAAAGGAAUUGACGG
Molecule: ribosomal RNA, 925 nt
Filed under: uncultured bacterium
Lineage: Bacteria
Description: bacterial SSU rRNA
Rfam family: Bacterial small subunit ribosomal RNA
Source: RNAcentral